AUACGGAGGAUGCGAGCGUUAUCCGGAUUUAUUGGGUUUAAAGGGUGCGUAGGCUGUGCGUUAAGUCAGGGGUGAAAUGCCGUCGCUCAACGACGGAGCUGCCCUUGAUACUGGCGUGCUGGAGUACGGAUGCCGUUGGAGGAAUGAGUGGUGUAGCGGUGAAAUGCUUAGUUAUCACUCAGAACACCGAUUGCGAAGGCAUCGGUCGAAUCCGUCACUGACGCUGAGGCACGAAAGCGUGGGGAUAGAACAGGAUUAGAUACCCUGGUAUUCCACGCCGUAAACGAUGAUGACUAACCGUCGGCGAUAGACAGCCGGUGGCCAAGCGAAAGCGAUAAGUCAUCCACCUGGGGAGUACGUCGGCAACGAUGAAACUCAAAUGAAUUGACGGGG
RNAcentral lists this ribosomal RNA (393 nucleotides) under uncultured bacterium. RNAcentral's name for it is "partial 16S ribosomal RNA". It matches the Rfam family "Bacterial small subunit ribosomal RNA", at positions 523 to 918 of the family's 1533-position model. The record is from RNAcentral.